AUGUUUGCUAGUCUUGAAUGCAUGAUACCGGCUAAGUUACCACCACUAUGGCCUGCAUUCCAAAAAUAUGCAAGUAGCGAGUGCUUAUAUUCAUCACUGGUAUUACCGCUUCAAACAAAACAAAUAAAUCCCACAUUAUCCGCACUCCACGUGCAUCGAAAUCUCUCUAAUUAUGAGCCACACAAUAGAAAGGCAAAAUAUCUUGCCAAAGUACUAAUAGAAAUAUCGCAGAUAAUUAGUACAACAUAUAGUUUGCAUGAUACAGGUUCCACUCUUGUUCAACCACCAGCAACCAUGGAGCUAGAACCACAGCUAACAACUGCACCCGCAGAUGGAAGGAAAUCACACUGA
Molecule: ribosomal RNA, 351 nt
Filed under: Triticum aestivum (bread wheat)
Lineage: Eukaryota; Viridiplantae; Streptophyta; Magnoliopsida; Poales; Poaceae
Description: partial small subunit ribosomal RNA
Source: RNAcentral